RNAcentral lists this long non-coding RNA (376 nucleotides) under Ananas comosus (pineapple). RNAcentral's name for it is "long non-coding RNA (ACOM_LNC021902)". Lineage: Eukaryota; Viridiplantae; Streptophyta; Magnoliopsida; Poales; Bromeliaceae. The record is from RNAcentral.
ACAGAUUUCCAUAAUGAAUAACAAAUAUAUUUUUCUGAAGUUCAACCUUCAAUAAUUAUUUCUAUAAAGGUUCUUAUGUUUUCAAAUAUAUUCCCGCCGUUAAAAUCCGUUAGAAAAAUUUAGUUAACAAUAAUAAGUUAAAUACUUAAUCCUGGUUAGUUUUUGAUAUUUUUACUUCUCUUAUAUUAUACUGUUAUUUUUUUGGAGGAAUAUAUUUGAAAACAUAAGAACCUUUAUAGAAAAUAUAAACAGUUAUUUAAUAAUUCUCUAAUGGUAACAAAUCAGAGGAACAUAUUUGAAAAUAUUAGAACUUUUCAAGAAUAACAUAAGAAAGUUGAACUUUGUAGAAAUAUAUUUGCCAUUUAUUAUAUUUAUA